Zea mays is the source of this 1572-nucleotide RNA transcript. RefSeq lists it as uncharacterized. The record is from RefSeq and is marked predicted. The transcript has 9 exons. Lineage: Eukaryota; Viridiplantae; Streptophyta; Magnoliopsida; Poales; Poaceae.
AGCAGCUUCGACCCGCGCCGCGCCUCCCGAAAGUUUCGAACAAAAGUCCACAAAUCCCCUUCGCCGUCUCCGGCGAGCCCCGCCCCUCAUCGCCGCCGCGCCAAAGAGACAGUGAGAGGGGGGAUGGAUCAGUCCAUCAGAACCGCAUGCGAGUUCCUCUCGUCGGUGCUAAACCACGCUGAGUCCUCGUCCCGCGAGCUCGCCGACGCCGUCUCCCAACGCCCCGUCCACCUCGAGAUGGCGAGGACCUCGUUCCUGCAGAAGCUGGAGCACAGGGUGGAGGCGUCGGCCGCCGACUUGCAGCACAUCGAGUCCAUCGCCCUCGACACCGUCUCCUUCGAGGAGCUCCUCGGCCACUGCGGCGAGGCGCUCAAAGUCUACGCGCGCCACGCCGACGCCCUCCAGUCGCACCUCGCUUCCUUUGGCUACGAGCCCCCGGACGCACAACACCCCGAGAUCGAUGUGGAUGUGGAAGAUGGAGAUGUCGGGAAGGUUGGGGACCCUGGAGAUAGAUGCCUCAGCGUGUCGCGUUCAGUGCUCAGGUCGGGUAAGCGGCGGUUUGAUAGCCACAGCGAUGCGAUAUUUGAAGAGUCACUGAAGGAUCUUGGGUUUUCAGAUGCUUGUCUAGCCACUCUUUCUUCUGAAGGCGCACAUUAUGGUGAGAGCCCAAAGAAGCUUUACAAGAAUGCUGAAAGUACUGAUGAUGGCGAAAAGAUCAUGAAUGAAGCUGAAAUUAUGACUCCCCUAAAUGAAAGAAAUGGUCAAGGUAAUUCUUUUGAAGGAGUGAUAAGGGCAUCAAAGGAGGAUUAUGAGCAACUCCCUCCUUAUAUGAAGAGUCUAGCAUCAUGGGAGGAGUUGCAGGAGGGAAUAUCCAAACUAAAUUCAUACUUGGGUGGUGACAAGUUGCAGGGGAGUGUUGCUUUGAACCAGGACCGUGUUGCAGAGAUAGGAUUGGGUACAUGCACUUGCUAUAUUUUUUUUUUGAUAAUGGAAACAAGAGUUCCGGCUUUAGCAUGGUAAUGCGUACAGCCAACACAAGACAAUUAUUACAUCCGAGAAACGUUGCAUAGAUAAUGAAACUAACUUAAAGAAGCAAAAUCACUAGAAUGUAGGUAACUCUAGGCAUCCUCAAUUCUUGCAUUUGAGCGCCAUCCAUGAUUUGCAAAGACUUCCAUCGCCACCACUUCCAACGCUUGACAGACAUCGAGGAUUUGUUGAUGUGAUUCCUCCUUCUGUAGAAGUCUCCAGAAUCUGAACCAGGCGCAAAGGAAGAGCCUGUUUGCUGAUGCUGUUGCGACUCAAUCAGCUAACUAUGGAGACAGUUGAUGGCUCUACCUUUUACACCCUGUGCAAGAACAACGUGUAGCCUGAUACUGCUACUGCUACAGCGUGUCAUGCUUAAGUUUUCCUUUUUCUUUUCGUAUGUCGAGUCUGGCUAGAAUAUUGUAUCAUGUUGAUGUAGCACUCGAUCUCAGCUCAAAAUAUUGUUUUUUUCUGAGCAGUUCUGGUCAUGUGAUCUUCAUUCCAACCAUGAAAUAAAGUGUGUUUGAGGCACCGCUCAUCUCCCUGCAA